Telopea speciosissima is the source of this 99-nucleotide long non-coding RNA. RefSeq lists it as uncharacterized. NCBI's taxonomy places the organism in Eukaryota, Viridiplantae, Streptophyta, Magnoliopsida, Proteales, Proteaceae. The record is from RefSeq and is a predicted model, not a curated record. The transcript has 4 exons.
CGUUCUAUCCCAUGGCUGCGAGGUUGAGGAGAGAUGAAGAUGGUCGUGUAGAGAUCAAUUGCAAUGGAGAGGGAGGUUUUUUUGUGGAAGCAGAAACCA